UUUUACUGCUAGGGGUCCCCGCCACUAAAGUUCGACAGACCGGUGUCCAAGACGAGCGCCCGAGUUUCAACCCGGCUGCUUGGCCCCCGAUAAUCUGGUCCGACUUUAGUGGCGGGGUGAGAAACACCCUUUGAACCUGAUCCGGUUCAUUCCGGCGUAGGGAAGCGAUGAGCCAGCCUC
RNAcentral lists this non-coding RNA (180 nucleotides) under Candidatus Muproteobacteria. Its description in RNAcentral is "TPP sequence". It matches the Rfam family "TPP riboswitch aptamer (THI element)". From Rfam's summary of the family: Vitamin B(1) in its active form thiamin pyrophosphate (TPP) is an essential coenzyme that is synthesised by coupling of pyrimidine and thiazole moieties in bacteria. The previously detected thiamin-regulatory element, thi box was extended, resulting in a new, highly conserved RNA secondary structure, the THI element, which is widely distributed in eubacteria and also occurs in some archaea. Analysis of operon structures identified a large number of new candidate thiamin-regulated genes, mostly transporters, in various prokaryotic organisms. Lineage: Bacteria; Pseudomonadati; Pseudomonadota. The record is from RNAcentral.